RNA transcript from Armigeres subalbatus, 884 nucleotides. RefSeq lists it as uncharacterized. The transcript has 5 exons. The record is from RefSeq and is a predicted model, not a curated record. NCBI's taxonomy places the organism in Eukaryota, Metazoa, Arthropoda, Insecta, Diptera, Culicidae.
CGAUGAAGACGGCGGACAACCCCGGAUGAUUAUGUUGAAGAUGGAAAUGGAACAACUGUCCCGGCGUAUCAACGAUCCCCUCUCCACGGAGUAUGGAACGGAUGAUUUGAGCAAGGCACGUUCGUUGCGCCGGGAACUUAAACAAAUGGACGAAGAGUUCCGUAUGCUUCAUAAGGCAAUCGGUGGAAUUGGCAAGCCGAGGGUGAACGGGUUCCAAUUCCCUAUUACACGGGAAGAAGAUGUUGAACGGCUGGAGACGGCGGUGCGGAGCAAUAGUGACAUCCGUGCACAAUACGUGGAAUAUCUGGACUUCACUAAACCAUUCAGAAUGAGUGUGCAGCAAGUGUUCAGCAAGUUUUUCACCGACGAAGCCAUGACCAACUACAAUUGGCAUGGGGUGGACCGGGCCCAGUACCCGCGGACGCCCAAAAAAGGCAUGCAGAAGUAUGACAUAUUCUAUGGCUGUAUGAUUGAUGCCUGGGAGAGUCAUGGAUUAGACAACGAAUUUAUAGUGGAACAGUUAAAGAAAGCUGUCUUUCACAUAAACCGGCGUCGGUACACGAAAAAGCAAUUUAUGAAAAAGAAACACAACUCAUAAUGUAAAGAAUAGCACAUCAAUUCAACGCGGCGUCCUCGAAUGGAAAAAAUAUAGAGAUUCUCAAGCUUGAACUGGCUCAGCUAGAUGUACUUUUCAGUCAACGCCGGAUGACAGGACAAAAAACCGGGCGGUCAAAGCGUACGCCAAUAUAGUAAAGCAUUACAGGCAUGGCAAUGACAAGGAAUGGACUCUAAAUACCAGGAGAGUUAUUCAACGUGUGCAGUACCGGCAGCUUGCAAGAAAAUUAUGCUGCAAGAGAAAAUAAAAUUUAUAUAAUAAAAUAAAA